AGUCGAGCCUGCCCGGUGAAUAUUUUUAACGGCCGCGGUACUCUGACCGUGCAAAGGUAGCAUAAUCAUUUGCCUUAUAAUUGAAGGCUAGUAUGAAUGGUUUGACAAGAAUAUAGCUGUCUCUAUAUAAUUUGAUAGAAUUUUAUUUUUAGGUGAAAAAGCCUUAAUGUAAUUAAAAGACAAGAAGACCCUAUCGAGCUUUAAAUAAAUUAGUAGGUGUAAUAAAAUUAUAUUAAUUAAAAAAAUAGCUAUUAAAGAUUUUGGUUGGGGCGACUAAGGAACAUGAAAAGCUUCCUUUAUAAAUUAUAUUUUAAACAUACUGGUGUUGAUCCAUAUUUUGUGAUUAAAGGAAUUAGUUACCGUAGGGAUAACAGCAUUAUCUUUUUUGAGAGUUCUUAUCGAAAAAAAGGUUUGUGACCUCGAUGUUGGACCAGAAUGUCCUAAAGAUGUAGACGUCUUUAAGGGUUGGUCUGUUCGACCAUUAAAAUUCUA
RNAcentral lists this ribosomal RNA (492 nucleotides) under Duplicaria duplicata. RNAcentral's name for it is "partial 16S ribosomal RNA". It matches the Rfam family "Bacterial large subunit ribosomal RNA", at positions 1851 to 2598 of the family's 2925-position model. Lineage: Eukaryota; Metazoa; Mollusca; Gastropoda; Neogastropoda; Terebridae. The record is from RNAcentral.